Molecule: ribosomal RNA, 460 nt
Filed under: uncultured bacterium
Lineage: Bacteria
Description: SSU rRNA
Rfam family: Bacterial small subunit ribosomal RNA
Source: RNAcentral
AGAAUCAACGCUGGCGGCGUGCCUAACACAUGCAAGUCGCACGAGAAAGGGACUUCGGUCCUGAGUAAAGUGGCGCACGGGUGAGUAACACGUGAAUCAUCUACCCUCGAGUGGGGAAUAACCUAGAGAAAUCUGGGCUAAUACCGCAUAAUACUUACGAGUCAAAGCAGCAAUGCGCUUGGGGAGGAGUUCGCGGCCGAUUAGCUAGUUGGCGGGGUAAUAGCCCACCAAGGCGAUGAUCGGUAUCCGGCCUGAGAGGGCGCACGGACACACUGGAACUGAAACACGGUCCAGACUCCUACGGGAGGCAGCAGUGGGGAAUUUUGCGCAAUGGGGGAAACCCUGACGCAGCAACGCCGCGUGGAGGAUGAAGUAUCUUGGUACGUAAACUCCUUUCGAUGGGGAAGAUAAUGACGGUACCCAUAGAAGAAGCCCCGGCUAACUUCGCGCCAGCAGCCGC